UACGGGAGGCAGCAGUAAGGAAUUUUCGGCAAUGGGCGAAAGCCUGACCGAGCAACGCCGCGUGAGUGAUGAAGGUCUUCGGAUCGUAAAACUCUGUUGUAAAGGAAGAACUGAGAGAUGAGGAAAUGCUUCUCUCUUGACGGUACUUUACUAGAAAGUCACGGCUUACUACGUGCCAGCAGCCGCGGUAAU
This 192-nucleotide ribosomal RNA is filed under the name uncultured rumen bacterium. RNAcentral describes it as "partial 16S ribosomal RNA". It matches the Rfam family "Bacterial small subunit ribosomal RNA", at positions 340 to 524 of the family's 1533-position model. The record is from RNAcentral.